UUUAUUUAGAUUAUAUUUUAUUUAUCUUAUUUUUUACUUUUUGAUGUUGUUGAUUCAGAGUUGGAAAUUUGAAUGACACCGCCUUCUGAGGCUCGCCUUUAUAUAGACAGUAUCAGCCAAUCAGGUUGCACAUAACAAAAUCUGGACCAAUGAAAACAAUUGUUACAAAGUAACAUUGGCGUUCUAAAAUAAACAUUUCAGAGAAAAUUUAGCUUUUGAUGGGAAACUAUAAUUAAUUACAAUUUAUAAUGUUGCGUUUACUUGAUAUUUAGAAAGAACAAUAUUUAAGGAAUAAAAUGGCACCACAUAUGGUUUAAAUAGACCAAAAUAUGAUAUCAAACGCCGGUUUACAAAAUGGACAGUGACAGCUUCCAAACAAGAUGGCGGAUGCGAAUUACACUUGACAAGCAUACCAACCCUUGCAGUGCUGACUAUCCUGGCGCCCUGGUGAGGACCGUUACCCAGUGUCCCACAACCACGGGUGGCAAACCACACUGCACAGCCGAUGCUGUCGUCUAGUACCGUCACGAGCGGGUACACCAGCUCCUUUAUGUGGGCCUCUCUGGAAGGCAUUUAUAGAUUGGAAUCAUUCUUCUCCUGUCACAUUCACCUCUAUGAAGUUCCAAGGUCGGUCUGGAUUGAGUUCUGAGAGUGCAGUGUAGCCUGUCAGUCUGUCUGGCACGCUCCAGCGAUUAGACUCAGAUGCAUGUUCACAUCUAUAUAAAAUGUCUUGAUGAA
Long non-coding RNA from Dreissena polymorpha, 738 nucleotides. RefSeq lists it as uncharacterized. The record is from RefSeq and is a predicted model, not a curated record. The transcript has 3 exons. Lineage: Eukaryota; Metazoa; Mollusca; Bivalvia; Myida; Dreissenidae.